This 1355-nucleotide ribosomal RNA is filed under the name Halomonas sp. IARI-SL-39. RNAcentral describes it as "bacterial SSU rRNA". It matches the Rfam family "Bacterial small subunit ribosomal RNA", at positions 106 to 1438 of the family's 1533-position model. The record is from RNAcentral. Lineage: Bacteria; Pseudomonadati; Pseudomonadota; Gammaproteobacteria; Oceanospirillales; Halomonadaceae.
GUGAGUAAUGCAUGGGAAUCUGCCCGAUAGUGGGGGAUAACCUGGGGAAACCCAGGCUAAUACCGCAUACGUCCUACGGGAGAAAGCAGGGGAUCUUCGGACCUUGCGCUAUCGGAUGAGCCCAUGUCGGAUUAGCUUGUUGGUGAGGUAAUGGCUCACCAAGGCGACGAUCCGUAGCUGGUCUGAGAGGAUGAUCAGCCACAUCGGGACUGAGACACGGCCCGAACUCCUACGGGAGGCAGCAGUGGGGAAUAUUGGACAAUGGGCGAAAGCCUGAUCCAGCCAUGCCGCGUGUGAUGAAGAAGGCCCUCGGGUUGUAAAGCCACUUUUCAGUGGGGAAGAAACGCCCCUCGGGAUUAAUACUUCCGAGGAGGACAUCACCCACAGAAGAAGCACCGGCGUAACUCCGUGCCAGCAAGCCGCGGUAAUAACGGAGGGGUGCGAGCGUUAAUCGGAAUUACUGGGCGUAAAGCGCGCGUAGGCGGUCUGAUCAGCCGGUUGUGAAAGCCCCCGGGCUCAACCUGGGAACGGCAUCCGGAACUGUCAGGCUAGAGUGCAGGAGAGGAAGGUAGAAUUCCCGGUGUAGCGGUGAAAUGCGUAGAGAUCGGGAGGAAUACCAGUGGCGAAGGCGGCCUUCUGGACUGACACUGACGCUGAGGUGCGAAAGCGUGGGUAGCAAACAGGAUUAGAUACCCUGGUAGUCCACGCCGUAAACGAUGUCGACUAGCCGUUGGGGUCCUUGAGACCUUUGUGGCGCAGUUAACGCGAUAAGUCGACCGCCUGGGGGAGUACGGCCGCAAGGUUAAAACUCAAAUGAAUUGACGGGGGCCCGCACAAGCGGUGGCAGCAUGUGGUUUAAUUCGAUGCAACGCGAAGAACUCUUUACCUACCCUUGACAUCGUGCGAACUUGGUAGAGACUGGCAUUGGUUGCCUUUCGGGAACGUCUCAGACAGGUGGCUGCAUGGCUGUCGUCAGCUCGUGUUGUGAAAUGUUGGGUUAAGUCCCGUAACGAGCGCAACCCUUGUCCCUAUUUGCCAGCGAUUCGGUCGGGAACUCUAGGGAGACUGCCGGUGACAAACCGGAGGAAGGUGGGGACGACGUCAAGUCAUCAUGGCCCUUACGGGUAGGGCUACACACGUGCUACAAUGGACGGUACAAAGGGUUGCAAGACCGCGAGGUGGAGCUAAUCCCAGAAAGCUGUUCUCAGUCCGGAUCGGAGUCUGCAACUCGACUCCGUGAAGUCGGAAUCGCUAGUAAUCGUGAAUCAGAAUGUCACGGUGAAUACGUUCCCGGGCCUUGUACACACCGCCCGUCACACCAUGGGAGUGGACUGCACCAGAAGUGGUUAGCCUAA